This 2009-nucleotide long non-coding RNA is filed under the name Citrus maxima (pomelo). RNAcentral's name for it is "long non-coding RNA (CMAX_LNC001886)". Lineage: Eukaryota; Viridiplantae; Streptophyta; Magnoliopsida; Sapindales; Rutaceae. The record is from RNAcentral.
UCCAGUACGGAGUUUCAAUAAACAAAAAUUUAAGCAGCACCAGCACCCUUGCCCUUCUUCCUCUGUAACUUCUUCAUGUAGAAUUCCAGCUCUUUACCCUCCAAGAUGUAUCUGGCGGAAAUGAGAGAGCCCCAUCAAUGCAAGAAAAAAGAAAGCAAAUAUUACCAUUAUACUGUCUUGCUCUCCUGUAUCUAUCCAAUAACUACCAUGGAAAUAAAGAAACCUGUAUCUAUCCAAUAACUACCAUGGAAAUAAAGAAAAACAAGGAACAGCUUUGAUGGUCUCCAAAGCUAAUCUUAAGGUGUUUAAUGUCAUAAAAAAAUGACUUCUAGCGAUUGUUUAAUACCCAUUAAAAGGCAAGGGAAAGGAAAGGAUAUAUAUAUAUAGAUAGAUAGAUAGCUUAGGCUAACUCAUAUCCAGCUUCAACAGCAUGAAAGUUCAGGUAUGAUGGUGUUUGUUGAAUACUUUCAUUUUUGGUGCCUUCAAUAAAUCUUGAAAACUAAAAAGCAAUAAAAGGAGUCACAUACCCAUCAGCACGUCCACACUGGCCAGGCCGUGAUGCGAUACAAGCUAACAAACGACCACUACCAAACUGCUCCUCAAUAUGUGGGUCAAGUGUGCGAUCUUUUUGACGCUUCUCAAGCUUUCUCAAGACAUGGCUGCUCUUCUUUGCCUCCUCAGUGGCAGGAGCGUCUCCUUCCUAUCCACCAGUGAAACAAGACAAGUUAAAUAUCUAAGUAGCAAUCUUGCAAUCAAAUGAAAUGAGUUAUGCAUUUAAUCGAAAGAAGAAAAAUACAGAGAAUCAUGCUAAAUUAUAUUCUACGAAAACAAGCUUAUGAAGCAUAAACACUAAUAAGAAAGCUUUGUCGCAAUAGUUUUCUAAGCAAGAGUUAGAAAGAUAAGAAAACCAUGAAAAUUAAGUGCGGAAAAUUUGAUGCCGUCCAAACAAGAUAAUAAUAGUUACGAUUACCUUACCAUACAUACAAAUACUCUUAUGUUCUUCCUGAUAGAGUUGAUUGACACAGAUAAAUUAGAUAAUUCUUCUAUUCCAUAAAAUGAAUAAUAUAAGUAUUGAAAUAUAUAUAUAUAUAUAUAUAUAAGCUGAUUAAGAAAAUAUAGAACACCAUAUCUAAAACCACAAUUGCAAUGCCCCAGCACAUUCAAGGCAACCCAAGUAAAAAGAAAUAUAAACAUAAGGCACCAGCUCAAAGAAUAAGUUGAUCAAAAAAAUUGUUAUACCUCUCCUUCUUUCUUGGUUGUGGCAGCAGCUGCAGCCUUCUUCUUGCGACCAAUGUCAACACCAUAAUGCUGGAGAUACCACUGCUUGAAUGGUGCUGCAUCAACCUGAACAAUGGCACUCUUCACCAAAGUUUGAGUACGGACCAGCUCAUUAUUGGAGGCAUUGUAUACCACAUCCAGAAUUCUGGUCUUACGAGUCACUGCUUCACUUCCCCAGGAGUAGUUUCCUGUGUCAAGCCUCAAAGCACGCCAUUUCACAUUACCUCCACGAACCCUAAUCCUCCUCACUGUCUUGUUGCUUGAUAGCUUAGUAUUUGCAGGUUGCCUUCCAAGCUCAUACCUUCAAUCAUAGGAAAGAAAAGAUAAAUCAAUUAAACAUUACAAACAAAGGCUUGAAAAUGUAAAAUGGGUGGUAAUUUUUUUUUUUUCUAGACAGCUUGCACUCGACUGUCAAAAAUAAGACAACCCCAUCAUAUGAAACACAAAAUAGUGCAAGCCCUCUUAGACGUGUCAGCAAAAUACCCAUAUCUGAAAACAAGGUUUAAAAACUACGAUUUGAUAGAUUAUUUUUGUUUAUGAAAGAUAAUAACCUGAGAUCAAAAUCAAAUGUUAUAACUACUCACAGCAGUUAAAACAUUGUAAAGAAACCAACAAUAUCCAAAACAGCAGUGAACAUUAUGAACAUUAACAAUCAACAAAUCACAAUCUCUGAAUUUAGAACUUAAAAAAAGGAACUUACUUUCUCUUCUUCCUCCAAGCCUUCUUCUUGC